CCAAAAUUUGGGCUGGGUUAAACAUUGGAGGUACCACAUGAAACCAACAUAAAAUGAACAAUUGCACUCUACUUAUUGCACAAUACCCAUUGCCAGACAAAUCAUCUUCUGCAUAAGGCCCGCCAGACACCCACAAAAAGUUGACCCUUCAGGUAUACACGGGUAAAAUUGGUCUGGAAUAUAUAUCGAUUGUACCACAUUAAGGUACGUUUGAAUGAACAGGUUCAUAUCACAGCGUACAGAAUGGGCCACACCAGAUAAAUCUUCCUCUGCAUAAGGCUUAAACAUUGGAGGUAUCACAUGGAACCAACAUAAAAUGAACUAUUACACUCUACUUAUUACAAAAUACCCAUUGCCAAACAAAUCCUCUUCUGCAUAAGGCCCGCUAGACAGACCCUCACCCCACCCCACACAGUUGACCCUCUGUAAUCCGAGUGUGCAUAAUGAAACAUUGGACAUCAGCUCUGAGAGUCAACAGAUGGUCAAAUUUAUGUUUUGUUCUUAAAGAUGGAAGGAUUUUAUUGAGAUUAAAAUCACGUAUUUAUAAAAUCAGGUCUCUGAAUACUAGUAUUGAUAUCAUAGAUUAGGCCUAUCGUUGAAAUGUAAUAAAAAAAAAGGCAUGAAUCUGAUUCUUGUGAAUAUAUAUCUGAUCAGCUAUGAAGUCCUCAAAGCCUGCUAUAGCCUGAUAGCUUGGCUAUGGAUUCCUACAAACCCAAACAUGCUUAGGUAGUCCUCAAAGCCUGCUAUAAGAAUGGUAAAUGACAGUCCCUAAUACCAUUUGGAAAUCUUUUGGUGAUAAUUGUGUUUAAAAACCUAUGAUCUCCGUUUAUUUAGCAAGUUUUAUCAUCUAAAAAGCUGAAUUCCGGCCAAAUAUUUCCAUAUUUAUGGUCGGUCCCGAAAAGUUUAUCGUAUCGAGAAACCUAACAAAAUCGUGGCACAGACCUGUGUGAAAAUAUCAAGUUUGUCAGGUCACGGAAAGAGAUGAACAGGGUUUGGUGACACGAAAAGAUGAAUGUUCUAUUCUUGAUGUAUUUUCGUCCUGAUCUUCACAACUUUUCUCGGAGUGUCACGGUUGGAUACAAAAAUAUUUUUCUGUUCAAAAGAGAAGGGCCGUUACUGAUAUUCACCUCGUCAAAACUAUCGCACCACCAAAUGUGAAAUGUAAUUACCCAUCAUGUUUUAUGAUUUUGUUCUUGUUGUUAAAUGUAAAUGUAUGUUCAUAAUGUGACAUCGUUUUGAUUUCAAUACUCAAAUAUCUGUUAUGAAACCUCCACUAUAUAUCUAAAUUUUCACAAGGCCUUACGUCUCAGAUUUGCCAUCUAUCUGUUUGAAUAAACGUCUUACACUAGACAGAGAGUCAUGAUAUUGGCGCGUGAGCUGUGCCACGGUUAAAUGUGUUUAGACUUCUAUCCCAGGAUGACCCAGUGUACAUAUGUGUGUAUAUAUAUAUAUAUAUAUAUCUGUUUUUGAAUACCCUCAAUAAAGAAGGGAAAGCCAUACACAAUAAAUUUAACUUCUUUUUUUCUGAGGUGUGUGACGAGCACGUCACUUCUCUCGAGAAAUCGACAUCAAGCUUCCUGGGAAAAAUUUUCUUACCUCCCGGUAAAAUGCCAAGAAAGGUUGCAUUAACCUGAUCCAUUCAGGGUGUUUUCCACAACACAAAAUUCUAAACAAGCAAUUGUUGAUCUGUCACGAUUGACUGAAUUUUGUAUAAAUUCCCAUAUCAUUGUUACCAUAGAGCUUUGUUUUCAAGCAAAUGUGAAUUCUUUUGUUAAAAGAAAAGCCGUUUGCAAACCACACCUAGCCUUUUCUUUUCUGCCAACCUCUGAAUGCAAAUAUGAAAUCUUAAUAAUAGUGCUACAGACGUUAUAAUCACAAUAUAACUUGAAGCAUUUAUCAAAUCAUAAAACACUUUGAACUGAAUAAACAUGAUCAUACAUGAAGGUCGUGAGAAACCUUCCUUUGACACACCCUGGUUUGUAUUGGCAUUGUAAUAGGGGGUGUAAGUAGGUCACGGGACUACGCGAGACCUAACUUUAUUUAGUACGUCCGGUGACAAACAACGUCUCGCGGCAAUGGCGACAGCAGUGUCACUUCGGGCAGGGCCCGGCGAAUCAUAUUUGGAAAACGCAGGUGUAACUUAGAAAAACAUGACACUGUCACAGUCAUUAAAACACUCGAGAUGGGGAACAUGAAUAGCAAGUGUUGGCUUGUCAAAGCAGUUGCAGUGUUGUCAAGACGUCCUAUGGUCGAUGUCAAACUGGCCGCUACCCAUUCAUAAAUAUUGAGUUGGACCAUAUUUCCAUGUUUGAGGGGAGAAAGAUUUCCUCAUCUUACUCACGGGUAGAUGCAUAUGGAUCACCAGAAUUACCUUGAUGCCAAGCAUAACUGCACCUCAAGAGCAUCUCAGAUUAUAACAUAUCCUUAGAUUUCUUGGAAUAUUUUGUGGUCAAGCAUUACAUUGCCUAUGAAAGAACAACUCUUGUUGUGUAUACAGGUAUAAACAUAUUAAAGUUCUAUCUGAACAUUUUGCUGAAGUAUUGGCUCUGUAAAUGAUGUCUGUGACCAUCAGAUUACACCAUAUAUACACUGGACACUUGCUGGAACAGGACCUACUUGUCAUCAACAUGGUGUUGCAGAACAUCUUGGGACUCUCUCAUAAAGUCCAGUGUGAAUCUAGAUACUGACACCAGUAACAGUGCAUGCUGGCACAUUUAUUUGUUCAGGCUUGGCAUUUGGGAAUAUUUGCCAUGAAUGUUUAAUACUCAUGACCUUGGAAUAAAAUUACUGAAUAGA
Haliotis rufescens (red abalone) is the source of this 2796-nucleotide long non-coding RNA. RefSeq lists it as uncharacterized. The record is from RefSeq and is a predicted model, not a curated record. The transcript is spliced from 2 exons. NCBI's taxonomy places the organism in Eukaryota, Metazoa, Mollusca, Gastropoda, Lepetellida, Haliotidae.